CCUUCGGGUCUAGUGGCGCACGGGUGCGUAACGCGUGGGAAUCUGCCCUUUGCUACGGAAUAACUCAGAGAAAUUUGUGCUAAUACCGUAUAAUGUCGGAAGACCAAAGAUUUAUCGGCAAAGGAUGAGCCCGCGUAAGAUUAGCUUGUUGGUGGGGUAAAGGCCUACCAAGGCGACGAUCUUUAGCUGGUCUGAGAGGAUGAUCAGCCACACUGGGACUGAGACACGGCCCAG
Molecule: ribosomal RNA, 234 nt
Filed under: uncultured bacterium
Lineage: Bacteria
Description: partial 16S ribosomal RNA
Rfam family: Bacterial small subunit ribosomal RNA
Source: RNAcentral